RNAcentral lists this ribosomal RNA (387 nucleotides) under uncultured bacterium. RNAcentral's name for it is "partial 16S ribosomal RNA". It matches the Rfam family "Bacterial small subunit ribosomal RNA", at positions 975 to 1362 of the family's 1533-position model. The record is from RNAcentral.
CUGGGCUUGACAUAUCCAGGAUCGGNNCAGAGAUGCCUUUUUCCCUUGUGGUCGGUAUACAGGUGGUGCAUGGUUGUCGUCAGCUCGUGUCGUGAGAUGUUGGGUUAAGUCCCGCAACGAGCGCAACCCUUGUCUUAUGUUGCCAGCACGUNAUGGUGGGGACUCAUGAGAGACUGCCGGGGUNAACUCGGAGGAAGGUGGGGAUGACGUCAAAUCAUCAUGCCCCUUAUGUCCAGGGCUUCACACAUGCUACAAUGGUCGGUACAGAUGGGNUGCNANACCGUNAGGUGGAGCNAAUCUCUUAAAGCCGGNCUCAGUUCGGAUUGGGGUCUGCAACUCGACCCCAUGAAGUCGGAGUCGCUAGUAAUCGCAGNUCAGCACGNGCGA